GAUGAACGCUGGCGGCGUGCCUAAUACAUGCAAGUCGAACGCUUCACUUCGGUGAAGAGUGGCGAACGGGUGAGUAAUACAUAAGUAACCUGGCAUCUACAGGGGGAUAACUGAUGGAAACGUCAGCUAAGACCGCAUAGGUGUAGAGAUCGCAUGAACUCUAUAUGAAAAGUGCUACGGGACUGGUAGAUGAUGGACUUAUGGCGCAUUAGCUUGUUGGUAGGGUAACGGCCUACCAAGGCGACGAUGCGUAGCCGACCUGAGAGGGUGACCGGCCACACUGGGACUGAGACACGGCCCAGACUCCUACGGGAGGCAGAAGUAGAGAAUUUUCGGCAAUGGGGAAAACCCGGACCGAGCAACGCCGCGUGAAGGAAGAAGUAAGUCGUUGUGUAAACUUCUGUCAUAGAGGAAGAACGGUGGAUAUGGGGAAUGAUAUCCAAGAGGCGGUACUCUAUAAGAAAGCCACGGCUAACUACG
RNAcentral lists this ribosomal RNA (480 nucleotides) under uncultured bacterium. RNAcentral's name for it is "partial 16S ribosomal RNA". It matches the Rfam family "Bacterial small subunit ribosomal RNA", at positions 28 to 505 of the family's 1533-position model. The record is from RNAcentral.